Molecule: long non-coding RNA, 863 nt
Filed under: Theobroma cacao (cacao)
Lineage: Eukaryota; Viridiplantae; Streptophyta; Magnoliopsida; Malvales; Malvaceae
Description: long non-coding RNA (TCAC_LNC000189)
Source: RNAcentral
CAAAACCUCGGAUAUGAAGGUUACGUUUGUGUUUUCCCAAGCGUAGUAGGACGCUAAUGCUAAGUCACACCCUUUCUUGCAUUUUGAUUCUAUUACGGUAAUGGAAAGCGAGACGAAGAACAAACAUUGAAAAGGCAAGCUAAAUCUUAGUAGAGUCAUCUUUUCUUCUCUGUUAGUGGUGAAGUAACCUUGGUUCUUUGAUCUUCGUUUAAAAGUUUAAACGAAUUUCUGUGCUUUGGUUUGUGAUAAGCGUUUACUUCCACCAAGUUUCUUAUCAUUGAUUGGUUUCUGUUCCAGCUCUUCCACAUUGAGGAAAGUCGUGUAGGGUCCGCUCUAGCCCCAAACAGACGCCCAAAUUUGAGAAAUGGAAGUCAGAAAGUGCAACUCAGUCGACUAAUAACUGGACUGAUGAUGAAGUCUUCUGGAUGGAAGAGGUAAGACCAGUAUUUGAAAGAGACCCUGGAAACCGGCGAGAAGUUUCCGAGUAGAGAUAAAACUGGAACGACGGGUUUCAUCUGGUUAUAUGUAUGAUAGCCUUAUGAAUCUCAUAUUCUGUAGAUUCUGAAUUUCUGCUUUUGGCAAUGGGUUGGAUUUUUAAUUAACAAAGCUCAAAAUAGGUGUUGAAGAGUUUCUGAAGCUGAAGACUUCACUAGAAUCUAGAAUAAGAAUCUUCCUUGACAAUUGGCAUAGUUCAGCUGAGUUUAUCAAAAGUCUUUAAGCUCCGAAACUUGGUUAGGGUUCUAAAAUGAUUUUAGAUUGUAUCUAGUAUAAUAAUUUCCUGGGGCAUGCUGCUUUAGCGUCAUUGAUUGUAUUACUUCUCUUGUGAACAAAAGCAAGUUCAACUACAUAAAGGGAAAUAGAAG